Non-coding RNA from Triticum aestivum (bread wheat), 134 nucleotides. The record is from Rfam. Lineage: Eukaryota; Viridiplantae; Streptophyta; Magnoliopsida; Poales; Poaceae.
CAACUACUCCCUCCGUCCGAAAAUACUUGUCAUCAAAAUGGAUAAAAGGAAUGUAACUAGACGUAUUUUAGUACUAGAUACAUCUCCUUUUAUCCAUUUUAAUGACAAGUAUUUUCGGACGGAGGGAGUAUUAU